Molecule: ribosomal RNA, 538 nt
Filed under: uncultured archaeon
Lineage: Archaea
Description: bacterial SSU rRNA
Rfam family: Archaeal small subunit ribosomal RNA
Source: RNAcentral
GUCAGCAGCCGCGGUAACACCGGCAGCUCUAGUGGUAACAAUUUUAUGGGCCUAAAGCGUCCGUAGCCGGUUUAAUAAGUCUCUGGUGAAAUCCUGUAGCUUAACUGUGGGAAUUGCUGGAGAUACUAUUAGACUUGAGACCGGGAGAGGUUAGAGGUACUCCCAGGGUAGAGGUGAAAUUCUGUAAUCCUGGGAGGACCGCCUGUUGCGAAGGCGUCUAACUGGAACGGUUCUGACGGUGAGGGACGAAAGUUAGGGGCGCGAACCGGAUUAGAUACCCGGGUAGUCCUAACUGUAAACGAUGCGGACUUGGUGUUGGGUGGCUUUGAGCUGCUCCGGUGCCGAAGGGAAGCUGUUAAGUCCGCCGCCUGGGAAGUACGGUCGCAAGACUGAAACUUAAGGAAUUGGCGGGGGAGCACCACAACGCGUGGAGCCUGCCGGUUUAAUUGGAUUCAACGCCGGACAUCUCACCAGAGGCGACAGCUGUAUGAUAGCCAGGUUGAUGACUUUGCUUGACUAGCUGAGAAGUGGUGCAUGG